Molecule: non-coding RNA, 917 nt
Organism: Anguilla rostrata (American eel)
Lineage: Eukaryota; Metazoa; Chordata; Actinopteri; Anguilliformes; Anguillidae
Source: the annotation of a RefSeq genome assembly
GGAGACACAGGCUUGGGUCAGCAUCUGUGGGGACGAUCACACAGCACUAGUGAAGCAGUCCCAGAGUGAAGUCCCCAGGAUCUGGGCAGUGGACCUUUUAUCUGGCGGUGGGGAGCCUCUAUGUGCUGCAGCUGGAGCCGCUCCUGGAAGACAGGCUGCUCCCAGGUGUUGGAUAGUUGCUGUAGCUCCAUGGCCUUGACUGGGCUGAUCCACUCUGGCCAGCGGCUGCUGUCCAUGGUCCUGCACAUACUGGGGAUCAGGAGAGGUGACAGGAGAGAGAGAGAAAAGAAGCACAGCUGGGCGGGGCACUCGGUCCCUGCAUCACAAUGGGGUAAAACAGCAGUGAAUAGUGCACGUGUCCCAGCCCUCUACAGACCAACUGCUGUUCACACAUCAGAGCUCCUCUAACUGUGUGUGACAGGAUUUGUAUAGGGGAAGGGGCUUUGCAUACCUGUCCUGCCUCACUGCUCCACACACUUUAUGACCCCCUGUACAGAUCAGUGACUGUCCAGUCCUUUCACAGACACUGACACAGGCAGCAUUAUGAUGAUGUCAAACUUUCUACUGCUGGUGAUGCUGGGACUCCUGGUACAGGAAUCAAUGGCAGAUAUAAUUCUGACUCAGUCUCCAUCAGCUCACUCUGUUCAGCUGGGAGACACUGUCUCUAUCAGCUGUACAACCAGUCAGAGUGUGAGCAACUACCUCUACUGGUACCAGCAGAAACCUGGUCAGGCUCCUAAACUUCUGAUUUAUCGUGCCACAAGUCGCCAAUCUGGGAUCCCUGAUCGUUUCAGUGGGAGUGGAUCUGGGACUCAGUUUACACUGAAAAUCACUGGAGUCCAGGCUGAAGAUGCAGGAGAUUAUUACUGUCAGCAGUACAACAGCUACCCACUCACACAGUGAUACAGAGCCGUACA